CACCGCGGUUAUACGGAGGACUCAAGUUGACAGUCACCGGCGUAAAGCGUGGUUAGAUAUUUACACAAACUAAAGCCGAAAACAUUUACAGCAGUCACACGCGUGAAAGUAAUAAGCCCACUUACGAAAGUAGCUUUACAAUAUUUUGAGCCCACGAAAGCUGGGGUA
This 168-nucleotide ribosomal RNA is filed under the name Nemipterus tambuloides. Its description in RNAcentral is "partial 12S rRNA". Lineage: Eukaryota; Metazoa; Chordata; Actinopteri; Spariformes; Nemipteridae. The record is from RNAcentral.